GGGGAAUAUUGGACAAUGGGCGAAAGCCUGAUCCAGCCAUGCCGCGUGUGUGAAGAAGGUCUUCGGAUUGUAAAGCACUUUAAGUUGGGAGGAAGGGCUGCUGGUUAAUACCCUGCAGUUUUGACGUUACCAACAGAAUAAGCACCGGCUAACUUCGUGCCAGCAGCCGCGGUAAUACGAAGGGUGCAAGCGUUAAUCGGAAUUACUGGGCGUAAAGCGCGCGUAGGUGGUUGGGUAAGUUUAAUGUGAAAGCCCCGGGCUCAACCUGGGAACUGCAUCCAAGACUGGCAGGCUAGAGUACGGUAGAGGGUGGUGGAAUUUCCUGUGUAGCGGUGAAAUGCGUAGAUAUAGGAAGGAACACCAGUGGCGAAGGCGACCACCUGGACUGAUACUGACACUGAGGUGCGAAAGCGUGGGGAGCAAAC
RNAcentral lists this ribosomal RNA (425 nucleotides) under uncultured bacterium. RNAcentral's name for it is "bacterial SSU rRNA". It matches the Rfam family "Bacterial small subunit ribosomal RNA", at positions 356 to 773 of the family's 1533-position model. The record is from RNAcentral.